CAGCAGCCGCGGUAAUACGUAGGGUGCAAGCGUUAAUCGGAAUUACUGGGCGUAAAGCGCACGUAGGCGGAUUGGUCAGUUAGGGGUGAAAUCCCGGGGCUCAACCCCGGAACUGCCUUUAAUACUGCCAAUCUAGAGUCCGAGAGAGGUGAGUGGAAUUCCGAGUGUAGAGGUGAAAUUCGUAGAUAUUCGGAGGAACACCAGUGGCGAAGGCGGCUCACUGGCUCGGUACUGACGCUGAGGUGCGAAAGCGUGGGGAGCA
This 262-nucleotide ribosomal RNA is filed under the name uncultured bacterium. Its description in RNAcentral is "partial 16S ribosomal RNA". It matches the Rfam family "Bacterial small subunit ribosomal RNA", at positions 509 to 770 of the family's 1533-position model. The record is from RNAcentral.